UACGGAGGAUCCAAGCGUUAUCCGGAUUUAUUGGGUUUAAAGGGAGCGUAGGCGGCCUAUUAAGUCAGGGGUGAAAGACGGCAGCUUAACUGUCGCAGUGCCUUUGAUACUGAUGGGCUUGAAUGUAGUUGAGGUGGGCGGAAUGUGACAAGUAGCGGUGAAAUGCAUAGAUAUGUCACAGAACACCGAUUGCGAAGGCAGCUCACUAAGCUAUGAUUGACGCUGAGGCUCGAAAGCGUGGGGAUCAAACAGG
RNAcentral lists this ribosomal RNA (253 nucleotides) under uncultured bacterium. Its description in RNAcentral is "partial 16S ribosomal RNA". It matches the Rfam family "Bacterial small subunit ribosomal RNA", at positions 524 to 776 of the family's 1533-position model. The record is from RNAcentral.